This is a non-coding RNA of Oryctolagus cuniculus (rabbit), 1062 nucleotides long. Lineage: Eukaryota; Metazoa; Chordata; Mammalia; Lagomorpha; Leporidae. The record is from RefSeq and is a predicted model, not a curated record.
GCCGGGCAGCACGUCUUUCCUCCAGAAGACAGCACGCAGAGAUAAAUGACCUGGCAAGAGCAGCCUCCUUGGAGAGACGCGAAAGGCCUCGGAGCCGGCAGAGCCGAGUGUACAAACAGCCGUCACCAGGCACAGGCAGAGCCACAGCGGCCCAACCGCUAGCAUCACCCAAGGCAUCAGUGAACCGGAAGUACUUGCUGCGGGUCGCCUGGGCUCCAUCCAAAGCAUCAAUGAACCGGAAGUACUUGCUGCGGGUUGCCUGGGCUCGUGUAGCUGUGGAAGACAGGAAGGCAUCCCUCCAGGGCGCUGCCUCCAAUCUAGUUGGAAGAUGCAACUGGCCCAUCUCCUGGGGGUUGCUCUCCAGGGGAACGUGUUGAUGGAAGCUGUCGGCAGAACGAAUCCAACAGAAAGUGGGGCAAGCCGGUAGCAAGGAGUCCAGGCCAUCGGCUUCAGAGCCGUGAAGAAGGACUUGCAGUUGCUGGCAGAGCCAAGCUGUCUGGAACGACUGUCUGGAAGACGCUCUUCCCCGUCCUGGCCAUGGCACCCGGCAAUCAGAAGCCAUCGGCGAACCCAGGGCUGCCUCGGAACCUCAUCUUCCGUCAACUUAAGGACCUAGACUCCAGCCACAUGUGAGGGUGGCGUCCCCUUUUUGAAGUCAAGAGAUUGUGGAGAAUGGAAUUAAAAGACUGUAAGCUCCUUGAGGAGAGGGCCUUUAUCCGUUUGCUCACAGCUCCAUCCUCAGCACUCAAGGGCUCCUGGCAUGGAGAAAGGGCUCAGAGGCAUCGUUACCGAGCCACAGAAUCCUAGUAUUUCUGAUGGAAGGAUCUUUCGAGAAUACAGUUCAAUGUUUCCCCAAAUGUCGGUUUUUCAUGUACCACUUUCACAGCUUUUGCGAUAUACAUAUGCCAACUGUUCUAUUAUUUACUCAUAGUUUUACUUAAAUAAAAAAUUUGCAAAACCUUGUGUGCUUUUAUAUUACCAACAUAAAUGGAAAACCAGCUUUACUUGCCUUGCAUUUAAGAGAAUCAAGAUUAAUAUCAGACAUUAAAAUUUUUAAAUGUU